Molecule: ribosomal RNA, 633 nt
Filed under: Streptomyces sp.
Lineage: Bacteria; Bacillati; Actinomycetota; Actinomycetes; Kitasatosporales; Streptomycetaceae
Description: bacterial SSU rRNA
Rfam family: Bacterial small subunit ribosomal RNA
Source: RNAcentral
UCUGGGACAAGCCCUGGAAACGGGGUCUAAUACCGGAUAACACCUGCCCGGGCAUCCGGGUGGGUUAAAAGCUCCGGCGGUGAAGGAUGAGCCCGCGGCCUAUCAGCUUGUUGGUGAGGUAGUGGCUCACCAAGGCGACGACGGGUAGCCGGCCUGAGAGGGCGACCGGCCACACUGGGACUGAGACACGGCCCAGACUCCUACGGGAGGCAGCAGUGGGGAAUAUUGCACAAUGGGCGAAAGCCUGAUGCAGCGACGCCGCGUGAGGGAUGACGGCCUUCGGGUUGUAAACCUCUUUCAGCAGGGAAGAAGCGAAAGUGACGGUACCUGCAGAAGAAGCGCCGGCUAACUACGUGCCAGCAGCCGCGGUAAUACGUAGGGCGCAAGCGUUGUCCGGAAUUAUUGGGCGUAAAGAGCUCGUAGGCGGCUUGUCACGUCGGGUGUGAAAGCCCGGGGCUUAACCCCGGGUCUGCAUUCGAUACGGGCUAGCUAGAGUGUGGUAGGGGAGAUCGGAAUUCCUGGUGUAGCGGUGAAAUGCGCAGAUAUCAGGAGGAACACCGGUGGCGAAGGCGGAUCUCUGGGCCAUUACUGACGCUGAGGAGCGAAAGCGUGGGGAGCGAACAGGAUUAGAUA